AGAGUUUGAUCAUGGCUCAGAUUGAACGCUGGCGGCAUGCCUUACACAUGCAAGUCGUACGAGCUCGAUCUUCGGAACGGGUUAGUGGCGCACGGGUGAGUAACACGUAGGUGACCUACCCCAGAGUGGGGGAUAACUUCUCGAAAGAGAGGCUAAUACCGCAUACACUCGGUCAUUCAUUUGGCCGAGCAAAGCUCCGGCGCUUUGGGACGGGCCUGCGUCCGAUUAGCUAGUUGGUAGGGUAAUGGCUUACCAAGGCUUUGAUCGGUAGCUGGUCUGAGAGGACGAUCAGCCACACUGGCACUGACACACGGGCCAGACUCCUACGGGAGGCAGCAGUGAGGAAUAUUGGGCAAUGGGCGAAAGCCUGACCCAGCAACGCCGCGUGAGGGAUGAAGGCCUUCGGGUUGUAAACCUCUUUUCUGGGAGAAGAGACAAGGACGGUAUCCCAGGAAUAAGUCUCGGCUAACUACGUG
Molecule: ribosomal RNA, 476 nt
Filed under: uncultured bacterium
Lineage: Bacteria
Description: bacterial SSU rRNA
Rfam family: Bacterial small subunit ribosomal RNA
Source: RNAcentral